CAGCAGCCGCGGGAAUACGAAGGGGGCUAGCGUUGUUCGGAAUUACUGGGCGUAAAGCGCACGUAGGCGGACAUUUAAGUCAGGGGUGAAAUCCCGGGGCUCAACCCCGGAACUGCCUUUGAUACUGGGUGUCUAGAGUAUGGAAGAGGUGAGUGGAAUUCCGAGUGUAGGUGAAAUUCGUAGAUAUUCGGAGGAACACCAGUGGCGAAGGCGGCUCACUGGUCCAUUACUGACGCUGAGGUGCGAAAGCGUGGGGAGCAAACAGGAUUAGAUACCCCGGUAGUCCCUGUCUCUUAUACAC
This 301-nucleotide ribosomal RNA is filed under the name uncultured bacterium. Its description in RNAcentral is "partial 16S ribosomal RNA". It matches the Rfam family "Bacterial small subunit ribosomal RNA", at positions 509 to 809 of the family's 1533-position model. The record is from RNAcentral.